AUUGAACUCUGGCGGCAUGCCUUACACAUGCACGUCUAACGGUAACAGGUCUUCGGAUGCUGACGAGUGGCGAACGGGUGAGUAAUACAUCGGAACGUGCCUAGUAGUGGGGGAUAACUACUCGAAAGAGUGGCUAAUACCGCAUGAGAUCUACGGAUGAAAGCAGGGGAUCGCAAGACCUAGUGCUACUAGAGCGGCCGAUGGCAGAUCAGGUAGGUGGUGGGAUAAAAGCUUAACAAGCCGACGAUCUGUAGCUGGUCUGAGAGGACGAUCAGCCGCACGGGGGCUGGGACACGGCCCGGACUCCUACGGGAGGCAGCAGUGGGGAAUUUUGGACAAUGGGCUAAAGCCUGAUCCAGCAAUGCCGCGUGCAGGAUGAAGGCCUUCGGGUUGUAAACUGCUUUUGGACGGAACGAAAGGCUCCUUCUGAUAUGGGGGGCUCAUGACGGUACCUGAAGAAUAAGCACCGGCUAACUACGUGCCAGCCGCCGCUGUAA
This 497-nucleotide ribosomal RNA is filed under the name uncultured bacterium. Its description in RNAcentral is "partial 16S ribosomal RNA". It matches the Rfam family "Bacterial small subunit ribosomal RNA", at positions 30 to 523 of the family's 1533-position model. The record is from RNAcentral.